RNAcentral lists this transfer RNA (75 nucleotides) under Legionellales bacterium. RNAcentral's name for it is "tRNA-Lys". It matches the Rfam family "tRNA". From Rfam's summary of the family: Transfer RNA (tRNA) molecules are approximately 80 nucleotides in length. Their secondary structure includes four short double-helical elements and three loops (D, anti-codon, and T loops). Lineage: Bacteria; Pseudomonadati; Pseudomonadota; Gammaproteobacteria; Legionellales. The record is from RNAcentral.
GGGGCUAUAGCUCAAUGGUAGAGCAGCGGCCUUUUAAGCCGUUGGUUGAAGGUUCGAGUCCUUCUGGCCCCACCA